AACGAACGCUGGCGGCAGGCUUAACACAUGCAAGUCGAGCGAGGACUUCGGUUCUAGCGGCGGACGGGUGAGUAACGCGUGGGAAUGUGCCCUUCUCUACGGAAUAGCUCUGGGAAACUGGGAGUAAUACCGUUUACGCCCUUUUGGGGUAAGAUUUAUCGGAGAAGGAUCAGCCCGCGUUGGAUUAGGUAGUUGGUGGGGUACUGGCCUACCAAGCCGACGAUCCAUAGCUGGUUUGAGAGGAUGAUCAGCCACACUGGGACUGAGACACGGCCCAGACUCCGACGGGAGGGAGCAGAGGGGAAUCUUAGACAAUGGGGGCAGACCUGAUCUAGCCAUGCCGCGUAAGUGAUGAAGGCCUUAGGGUUGUAAAGCUCUUUCAGCUGGGAAGAUAAUGACGGUACCAGCAAAAGAAGCCCCGGCUAACUCCGUG
Molecule: ribosomal RNA, 433 nt
Filed under: uncultured bacterium
Lineage: Bacteria
Description: partial 16S ribosomal RNA
Rfam family: Bacterial small subunit ribosomal RNA
Source: RNAcentral